CGCCCCUGCACACGCCGCCUGCGCCCUCCGCCGCCCGCAGGGAGCCCUCGGUGCACGCCCCGGCGCGGGAGCGGGAGCGGGAGCGGGAGCCGCAGCCGGAGCCGGAGCCGGAGCCGGAGAGCGCGCAGGGCCGCGGGCAGCGUCGACGCGCACAAGCCCCGCUCGCCCGCGAACAAACUUUUCCGCCUCCUCCCCUCGGCGCUGCGCGAAGCCCCGGCGCGGCGGGCCGGGGGGCGGGGCGGGGCCGGGGCGGGCCGGGGGGCGGGGCCGGGGCGGGGCAGGGGCGGGGCCGGGGUCGCCCCGCCCCCGGGGAGGCCGGGCUCGGAGCCCCGGCGGCCGCGCAGGGGGGAGCGGAGCCGAGCGCGGCCGCCCCGAGGGUCCCGUCCCCGCCCCCCGGGCCGCCGUCGCCGCCGCCGCCGCGUCCUGGGAAGCCGACAGCAGACGCAGCUAAGCGAGGAGGCGGGUGUGCGCGCAGCCGGGCCCGUCCUGGGGCGGCCUUCGGGGUGGGAGGCGCGGGGCGCGCGGGAGGCAAGUCCAGUGAGCGCUGCUAUCGGGGAGCCUUUGAAUUCCAAAUUAAAAAGAAAAAGAAAAUCAGACGUGAUCCUACCCUCCACAGAUGAAACAGUGGUUUCAGUGAAAGUUCUAACAUGCUUACUGGUCUUUUUUUUUUUUUGGCCAUAUAUAUCAGCUCAAGAAAUAAAAACAAUUAAAGGUGAUCGGGGCCACAGCAGAUUGGAAACCCCAGAGUUCAUCAGUGAACACCCUGCUCCUCCAGAGAACUGCAUGGACCCCUGAACUGGAAGAACUGGGCUGGUGAACAGAGGACAGAUCAGGAUAAUUCUACUACACCUGGAUUCGCACUUCCAGCCGUGACCCAGUUUGACUUCCUAAGUGACCCCACCCCCACACCCCGGCUCAGAACUGUCUCUCCUACUGGCUGGCACAGUAACUGAAGUUUUUUUUUUAUCAUUAAGCUCAUUCCUUUAGGAUAAACUUCAUUGUCCUUUUAAAAUGAGAGGGUAAAAAAUAAAUAAAUAAAAAUUAAAAAAAUAAAAUAAGAGGGUAUUAUCUGGGAAGGGUAACAAAUUAACAUAUGAAAUUUAUUUUCAAUAGGGGUGAUACUGUGAUAUGGGCAGCUGCCACUCACUUCCCCAGAAUGUCAUGUGACCCUUCGGAAGAAGCCACUCUGCUUCUGCUCUUGCUGCCUUUGCUCAUUGCAGUGAUAUUUUCCACCCCAAGUGCAGGGGGUGUAAAAAUAAAGGAAGCAGCCCCCCCUUAUCCAUUUCCUUUGGGGGAGAAUUAGUUACACAAAGCAUGUAAAGUCGGGAGAAAUGAUCAAAACUGAUCAUUGGUAGGGGGAAGGAGAGAGCAUGCAGGGGAGUUUUAGACCACAAAUAGCUCCUUCAAGAGGGCAAGUUGGAUUCUAGGGAGUGAAACCCCUAACAGCUGUGUGGUUAGCAUGAAAGUACCAGGUGCCUGGAAAAGGAGCCCUUCUGGGUUGGAGCGGGGGUGUUAGGGAGAGUGAGAUGCCAACACAGAGUAGACCUACUUCAUAGUUUUGAGCUUUCUUUCAGUAAAUAGUGUAUAAUAGAGCCAGGUGGAGGAAUGAGACAGGGGAUCUAAAUUGUUUAUGGGAGGAUAAGACUUGAAGAGUUUAAAGCAGGAGGUAGAGACAAGUGAGGAGAGACUGAGGGGAAAAGGUAUGAGCAACAGAGAGGGUCUUAAUAGCUUUUUUGAGGAAGCAGUGAUGUCAAUGGCACAGGUGUGGAUCCAACUUAGACACCCUGUUCUAGUGUGUAAGUGCAUAUUUUCUUUUUACACGGCUGGGUUAAAUUACUUCCUCUAGGUCAUCCAAUUAAUCACUUGGAGAGCAAGGAAUAGAAUUCAGCAUUCAAGGCUCUCAUUUCACAUCUGGAGCAGGGAAGCCAGGCUUCUCCUUCCUGCAACACCUCUUCAUUUAAAAAAAAAAAAAAAAAAAAGUCUUUUGCGAGUAAGGGAAGUUUUGAGCUCUUUUAUAGAUAAUUUGCGAAACCUUCUUUCUAUUUGUGUGAUUUCAAACUAGGGCACUGUUAGGAGGCAAAAACACUAUAAAUUGCUUUCUGGUUUAUCUUUCAUUCAAGAAUUUAAAGUAUCUAUCAAAAUUAUUUUGAAUUCCCCUCCCCUCUCCUAGCUUUCAAGCUAUUAUUCUGGGGAACAAAAAAAAAAAAAAAUGAGUUACAGAUCUGAGAAAGCAGUGUGUGUGGAGCUUAACUGCUCCAUGACUGAUUGUGUGAUAUAUUGCUCUUUUCACUAAUAACCACAAAGCAGGUAGAGGCAUGGCAGGCUAAUUGGGUUUAUAUGUCCAGCUGUAAGGCUAGACACUGCAUCAUUCUUUUCAGAAACCAGUGACUUUAGGCAUGUGGAACUCGUAGUCAUGACAACAAUAAACCCGCUUUGAGUCUGAGUUUCAGCUCAGAAACUCCCUUGUCUCCAUUACUUCCUGCUCAUGACCUGACUUUUCUUACUCUCUGGGGCUGGGGGCUGGGGAUUUAUGAAAGAUCUAUUGAACAGAGCUCCAGUAUAUGUUUAAUGCUUAAAAUGUCUGGGUUGAAAGUUUUGCUUGCACAGAUGGCUAAAGGCUGGAAGGAGGAUAGAUCAAUCAUUAUUAUAGCUAAUGACACGGUUAUAAGGGCAUACACAAAGGUGAGCUGACUUGGAAAAUGGGAAAAGGCAAUGUGAAAAUAGUGACUUGGAAGCCUUUCUUUGAAUAACAUAAAAAUAUCUAUCACAAAUAAAAUGUUCUUUUAAACACACAGGGGAAUUACACUAUGAUUCUACGAGUACGUAUCCAAAAAACACAAUGAGAAGUAGUGAGGCAAAAGUUAGUACACAAAGUUGAGCGUGUGUGUGUUGUGUGUGUGUGCAUGUGGCAUUUUAAGUCUAAAGACACAACAGAUGCUUAUGACAAAAUCCACGAGCGAUCAUGUUUUGUCCCAUAUGUUUAAUGGAUUUAAUGGUAACCACUUUAGGAGAUGGUAUAGCUCAGUGACAAAAGUCAACGGCCUCCACAAAAUGGAGCAAUAUUGGAAAGUUGUCUAACUAUACAAAGUCUCUGGCUAUUCAGCUGUAAAGAGAAAUGACAUGAUUUGCCCUGUUGGGUUGUUGAGAGAUGGAAUGAGAUCAUGGAGACAAGUGGAUCCUGGUGCCUGGGACAGGGUAAGCACUCAGUGCUGGUCACUGUCACUGUUGAUGCUGCUGGUGGUGUUGAUUUGUCCAGUAAUGGAGAUCUGUCCUUCAUGAGAUUAAAAUGAUUGAGACCUUCAUUGUUACAGAGACAUGAUCACAGAGAUUGGAAGACUUAAGACUUUUUUUUCUUUGGAAAGAUGUUUUGCUGGCUUUGCUAUUUUCUCUGUAUAAUCUGCAUUUUAAGGAGAAUAGAGAAUUAUUGGCUGGAGAAGGCAGGAAGUGCAGGGUGUGAAUUGCUAACAUAAAAGAUAUAUCUGGAGACUUUUGUGCCUUUUCACUGCACACCCAACCCCCCACAACAGGAAGUCAGAAGUUCCAGCAUCAUUUUUGUUUCCUAUUCCUCUAGCACAUUGACCUAGUUUUGUAGGAUUACCUUUUUUUAAGCUUCUAUUUUCCAGCAAGUCGCUACCUCAAGCCAAUAGGCAGAGAAAUAAGACAUAGAUCAAAUCUUAGAGAGCAGCCAAAUGCUUCCUUUCUUUUCUAUGUACUGAGAAAUGGAAUGAUUUGCUUUCCUCAGAGAUCAACUUCAUGAUUUCAUGAUCAUGUAGUUAAACUUCCUAGUAAACGAGAUGCUGCCCAGAGGCCAUGUUAUUCUCUGUGACCUUGUGGAGUGUGGAUCACCGUGUAGAAACCUGAGAAAGUACAUUCAUUUGUUAAGUUAUAAUUUGAGAAGCCAUGAACCACAAACUGAUUAUGUAUUUUUUUUCUUAUAGGAGUUUAGUGGUGUUGCAAAUAAUUUAAUUUCUCUUUACAUUGUCCCCUGACUGGCAGUUACAGUUUACAGCCAUGUAAAAUUAUUUUUUUGAGAUAACACAGAUCACAUUUUUGUCUUACAAAGUUUAUGAGAGAAAUAAAUUUUUGUAUGUCCCUCAUUAGCAUGAAAGUGUUAAUAUACCUCCAGAAAAAGAGAAAUGUCUUACUUUUCUCUAAUAAUUAUAUUAAUUUUUGGACAUUUUAUUUAUUUUUUAUUUCUUUAUUUUUAAGAUUUUAUUUAUUUAUUCAUGAGAGACACAGAGAGAGAGGCAGAGGGAGAAGCAGGCCCCAUGCAGGGAGCCCAAUGCAGGACUCGAUCCCGGGACCCCAGGAUCACGCCCUGAGCCAAAGGCUCAACCACUGAACCACCCUGGUAUCUCUAAUUUUUGUACAUUUUAAAUUGAUUUAAACAAUGAGCUGAUUAAUAUGAGAGAAAUUUAAACAUUAGCAAGUAAGACAUUUGGAAGUAUAAAAUAAAUAUACAUUAUAUAAUUACUGUAUUGCAGAAAAGAUGUGAUUGAGUGAAUAACUGUUCUGGAUAUUAUAAGCAUUAAUGAAAAGUAUCAUUACAAGCUUACAAAGGACUAUUACAAUAACGGUACUAUAAAAACAAUAUUUUUCAUCCAAAAUGGGUUUGCGAUGAUAGUUUUUCACCAUCUUUUAAUUAGAUUCAGAUAAAAAUGUAGCCAAACUUUGAAGAGUUUUCCCCUUGUUUCACAAGACCUCAUAAUUUCAUAAAUAUUGGUCCUAAAGUUUCCAAGCUUUAGAGGGGAUUUUGGAAAGCACAAGUCAUUUCUUUUUACAAAGUUAGAAUGUUUAGUCUAUGCA
RNAcentral lists this long non-coding RNA (4806 nucleotides) under Canis lupus familiaris (dog). RNAcentral's name for it is "lncRNA (ENSCAFG00000050322.1)". Lineage: Eukaryota; Metazoa; Chordata; Mammalia; Carnivora; Canidae. The record is from RNAcentral.